AUGGGAAGGCCAACAUCCUUUUGUCGCCCGUUAGCAAGACCGAAACUAGAUGCGUCGAGCUGCCUAAGAUUGGAUAAGAAUCUUACUCCCGCACCGGAACUCUUGCUUCUUGGCCAAGAGAGGCUUCUCGCUCUACUAUUGGAUUUGAACCAAGAAAGUCUUCCAACUCUGCCUUUUAGGGUAAGAUACCCUGGCUUUCAGUUGCAGUACUGGUCAUUGGCGACCUUGGGACGCAUCUCAAGUGUACUGGGCACCCCCUCUUUGCUUAUAGACUCAGCACAGAAAAAGCAAGGCUCUCCUUUGAGAUCAGGAUGUUCUACCGCUUUUCCCAGGGAAGGCAUAUACUACUGA
Vicia faba (fava bean) is the source of this 351-nucleotide non-coding RNA. The record is from the annotation of a GenBank genome assembly. NCBI's taxonomy places the organism in Eukaryota, Viridiplantae, Streptophyta, Magnoliopsida, Fabales, Fabaceae.